AAAGUAUGAACGCUAAAAGCAACCAGACCAUAACCAUUAACUGCAGAACAAGCCUUAAAACUUGAAAGGAGCCUCUCAAAAGCCCAAAGAAAAACUAGGAUUCAGGGGUGGCACUGGCACUUCCUUUUGUAUGCUGAAUAAAUUUUUGUUUGGGUUAUGAAUUUAUUUUUUCUGUAUCUAUGAUUUGUGGUUCCUAUGGGCUCUCUUCUAAUCAAUCUAAAAGUAAUGUCUCAUUUAUAGUUCUAUGCCUAUUACCUUGCUGUAGUAUCAUGAUUAUAUUCCCCAUCGGCUUUCUUUUGUAUGUUCAUUGUUAACCUCUCUACGUAAAACUGUCUUUUGUUGCAAAGCCUUAAAAUACUUCACAUAGAAAGUGGCUUGAGCUGGGAGUCCUAUAGUUUGGUUGCUGAAAGUAUAUGAUAAAGUGGUUAAUGAUCCUGUGCUCUCUUCCUUUUUCAAUUUUUGGCUAUAUUUCUGCAUUUACUAUAGGACAGGUAGGAAUUGCUAACUUAGAACUUAAUCAUGGUGUAUGGCAUUGGCAGGUGCAUCACUGGGUGAAGGCA
Molecule: unclassified non-coding RNA, 560 nt
Filed under: Hevea brasiliensis (rubber tree)
Lineage: Eukaryota; Viridiplantae; Streptophyta; Magnoliopsida; Malpighiales; Euphorbiaceae
Source: RNAcentral